Molecule: transfer RNA, 74 nt
Filed under: Candidatus Pelagibacter ubique HTCC1062
Lineage: Bacteria; Pseudomonadati; Pseudomonadota; Alphaproteobacteria; Candidatus Pelagibacterales; Candidatus Pelagibacteraceae
Description: tRNA-Gln
Source: RNAcentral
UGGCUGGCCCACAAGGAUUCGAACCUCGGAUCUCUGUACCAAAAACAGAUGUGAUACCACUUCACCAUGGGCCA